GUCUCCGUGGCGCAAUUGGUUAGCGCGUUCGACUGUUAUCACUAGCCGCAGCUUGCUUCUGCAGUGCAUCCUCUAGGAUACUCACAUCUGACGGCGACAUUUCAUCGAGAGGUUGGAAGUUCGAGCCUUCCCGGGGACG
Transfer RNA from Puccinia sorghi, 139 nucleotides. It matches the Rfam family "tRNA". Rfam says of the family: Transfer RNA (tRNA) molecules are approximately 80 nucleotides in length. Their secondary structure includes four short double-helical elements and three loops (D, anti-codon, and T loops). The record is from Rfam. Lineage: Eukaryota; Fungi; Basidiomycota; Pucciniomycetes; Pucciniales; Pucciniaceae.